GUGCACCAGUCGAGAAACUUCACACUGCGCGAAAGCGCGAUGAGGGAAUCCCAAGUGCUUGCACGUAAGUGUAAGCUGUUUCCCUGUCUAAAAGCAGAGAGAGUAAGGGCUGGGUAAGACGGGUGCCAGCCGCCGCGGUAAUACCUGCAGCUCAAGUGGUGGCCGCUAUUAUUGGGGCCUAAAACGUCCGUAGCCGGUCUGGUAAAUGCCUGGGUAAAUCGUGAGGCUUAACCUUACGAAUUCCGGGUAGACUGCUAGACUUGAGACCGGGAGAGGCUAGAGGUACUCCUGGGGUAGGGUGAAAUUCUGUAAUCCUAGGGGACCACCAGUGGCGAAGGCGUCUAGCUAGAACGGGUCUGACGGUGAGGGACGAAGCCCUGGGGCGCAAACCGGAUUAGAUACCCGUGUAGU
RNAcentral lists this ribosomal RNA (411 nucleotides) under uncultured microorganism. RNAcentral describes it as "bacterial SSU rRNA". It matches the Rfam family "Archaeal small subunit ribosomal RNA", at positions 330 to 745 of the family's 1478-position model. The record is from RNAcentral.